Molecule: ribosomal RNA, 480 nt
Filed under: uncultured bacterium
Lineage: Bacteria
Description: bacterial SSU rRNA
Rfam family: Bacterial small subunit ribosomal RNA
Source: RNAcentral
UUGAACGCUGGCGGAAUGCUUUACACAUGCAAGUCGAGCGGCAGCGCGGGGCAACCUGGCGGCGAGCGGCGAACGGGUGAGUAACAUAUCGGAACGUACCCUAUCGUGGGGGAUAACACAUCGAAAGAUGUGCUAAUACCGCAUACGACCUGAGGGUGAAAGCGGUGGAUCGCAAGACCUCGCGCGACAGGAGCGGCCGAUAUCGGAUUAGCUAGUUGGUGAGGUAAAGGCUCACCAAGGCGACGAUCCGUAGCUGGUCUGAGAGGACGACCAGCCACACUGGAACUGAGACACGGUCCAGACUCCUACGGGAGGCAGCAGUGGGGAAUUUUGGACAAUGGGGGCAACCCUGAUCCAGCCAUUCCGCGUGAGUGAAGAAGGCCUUCGGGUUGUAAAACUCUUUCGGCCGGAAAGAAAUCGUCAAGGCUAAUAUCCUUGAUGGAUGACGGUACCGGAAGAAGAAGCACCGGCUAACUACGU